AGUGAGAAUGCCGGAAUGAGUAGCGAGAAUUAUGUGGGAAUCAUAAUGGCCGAAAAUCUAAGGUUUCUUGGGGAAGGUUCGUCCGCCCAAGGUAAGUCGGGAGCUAAGCUCAGGCCGAGAGGCGUAGGCGAUGCACAUACGGUAGAAAUUCCGUAACCACCGAAACUUAAACAGAGGGACACUUCGAAAUAGCGGAACCCGGGCGUUGGUUGACCCGGGCGAAAGGGAGCGAAAUUAGAGUAGCGAAGUCCGCGAUGUUCGGAGGCGAGAAAAGCUCUGAGGUAUGCUAAGGUGCCCGUACCGCAAACCGACACAGGUAGAUGAGGAGAGAAUCCUAAGGCCAACGGGAGAAGGGUUGUUAAGGAACUCGGCAAAUUGACCCCGUAACUUCGGAAGAAGGGGAGCCCCCUACGGGGGGUCGCAGAGAAAUGGCCCAAGCAACUGUUUACCAAAAACACAGGUCUAUGCUAAAUCGAAAGAUGACGUAUAUGGGCUGACGCCUGCCCGGUGCCGGAAGGUUAAGAGGAGAUGUCAGGCAACGAAGCAUUGAAUUUAAGCCCCGGUAAACGGCGGCCGUAACUAUAACGGUCCUAAGGUAGCGAAAUUCCUUGUCAGGUAAGUUCUGACCCGCACGAAUGGCGUAAUGAUUUGGGCACUGUCUCAACAGCCCGCCCGGCGAAAUUGUAGUACUGGUGAAGAUGCCAGUUACCCGCAACUAGACGGAAAGACCCCAUGGAGCUUUACUGCAGCUUAAUACUGAAAUUCGGUAGUACAUGUACAGGAUAGGUGGGAGACUGAGAAAUACAGGCGUCAGCUUGUAUGGAGUCGCUGUUGGGAUACCACUCUUGUACUGCUGGGUUUCUAACCUGCGGCCGUGAAUCCGGUCGGGGGACACUGUUAGGCGGGCAGUUUGACUGGGGCGGUCGCCUCCAAAAGAGUAACGGAGGCGCUCAAAGGUUGGCUCAGCACGGACGGAAAUCGUGCAAUGAGUGUAAACGUAUAAGCCAGCCUAACUGCGAGACCGACGGGUCGAGCAGUAACGAAAGUUGGAGUUAGUGAUCCGGUGGUAUGUGAGUGGAAAUGCCAUCGCUCAACGGAUAAAAG
This 1104-nucleotide ribosomal RNA is filed under the name human gut metagenome. RNAcentral describes it as "bacterial LSU rRNA". It matches the Rfam family "Bacterial large subunit ribosomal RNA", at positions 1287 to 2462 of the family's 2925-position model. The record is from RNAcentral.